RNAcentral lists this non-coding RNA (24 nucleotides) under Cricetulus griseus (Chinese hamster). The record is from RNAcentral. Lineage: Eukaryota; Metazoa; Chordata; Mammalia; Rodentia; Cricetidae.
AGAUUUGUGUUCAGCCUGAAUGUC